GGGCCCGCACAAGCGGUGGAGCAUGUGGUUUAAUUCGAUGAUACGCGAGGAACCUUACCAGGGCUUAAAUGUAGUGGGACAGGUCUAGAGAUAGACCUUUCUUCGGACUCAUUACAAGGUGCUGCAUGGUUGUCGUCAGCUCGUGCCGUGAGGUGUCAGGUUAAGUCCUAUAACGAGCGCAACCCCUAUCGUUAGUUGCCAGCGGGUCAUGCCGGGAACUCUAGCGAAACUGCCGGUGCAAACCGAGAGGAAGGUGGGGAUGACGUCAAAUCAUCACGGCCCUUACGUCCUGGGCCACACACGUGCUACAAUGGCCGGUACAGAGAGCAGCCACUACGCGAGUAGGAGCGAAUCUACAAAACCGGUCUCAGUUCGGAUCGCAGUCUGCAACUCGACUGCGUGAAGCUGGAAUCGCUAGUAAUCGCAUAUC
This 430-nucleotide ribosomal RNA is filed under the name uncultured bacterium. RNAcentral's name for it is "bacterial SSU rRNA". It matches the Rfam family "Bacterial small subunit ribosomal RNA", at positions 917 to 1350 of the family's 1533-position model. The record is from RNAcentral.